Molecule: ribosomal RNA, 459 nt
Filed under: uncultured bacterium
Lineage: Bacteria
Description: partial 16S ribosomal RNA
Rfam family: Bacterial small subunit ribosomal RNA
Source: RNAcentral
CCUACGGGCGGCAGCAGUGAGGAAUAUUGGUCAAUGGCCGAGAGGUUGAACCAGCCAAGUCGCGUGAGGGAAGACGGCCCUACGGGUUGUAAACCUCUUUUGUCGGGGAGUAAAGCGAACCACGUGUGGUUCAUUGAGAGUACCCGAUGAAAAAGCAUCGGCUAACUCCGUGCCAGCAGCCGCGGUAAUACGGGGGAUGCGAGCGUUAUCCGGAUUUAUUGGGUUUAAAGGGUGCGCAGGCGGGGGUGCAAGUCAGCGGUCAAAUUGCGGGGCUCAACCUAGUACUGCCGUUGAAACUGCAUCCCUUGAGUGCGCGAGAAGUAGGCGGAAUGCGUGGUGUAGCGGUGAAAUGCAUAGAUAUCACGCAGAACUCCGAUUGCGAAGGCAGCAUACCGGCGCGCAACUGACACUCAUGCACGAAAGCGUGGGUAUCGAACAGGAUUAGAUACCCCAGUAGUC